This 253-nucleotide ribosomal RNA is filed under the name uncultured bacterium. Its description in RNAcentral is "partial 16S ribosomal RNA". It matches the Rfam family "Bacterial small subunit ribosomal RNA", at positions 524 to 776 of the family's 1533-position model. The record is from RNAcentral.
UACAGAGGGUGCGAGCGUUAAUCGGAUUUACUGGGCGUAAAGGGUGCGUAGGCGGUUGAAUGAGUGUGAUGUGAAAGCCCCGGGCUUAACCUGGGAAGUGCAUCGCAAACGAUUUAACUGGAGUAUAUGAGAGGGUGGCGGAAUUUCCGGUGUAGCGGUGAAAUGCGUAGAGAUCGGAAGGAACGUCAAUGGCGAAGGCAGCCACCUGGCAUAAUACUGACGCUGAGGCACGAAAGCGUGGGGAGCAAACAGG